This 265-nucleotide signal recognition particle RNA is filed under the name Metabacillus lacus. RNAcentral describes it as "Bacterial large signal recognition particle RNA". It matches the Rfam family "Bacterial large signal recognition particle RNA". From Rfam's summary of the family: The signal recognition particle (SRP) is a universally conserved ribonucleoprotein involved in the co-translational targeting of proteins to membranes. Archaeal SRP consists of a 7S RNA and homologues of the eukaryotic SRP19 and SRP54 proteins. Lineage: Bacteria; Bacillati; Bacillota; Bacilli; Caryophanales; Bacillaceae. The record is from Rfam by way of RNAcentral.
UCGUGCUAAGCGGGGAGGUAGCGGUGUCCUGUACUCGCAAUCCGCUCUAGCGAGGCUGAAUUCCCUCUCGAGGUUAGCAGACUGUAGGGUCUGCCUCAAGUAAGUGGUGUUGACGUCUGGGUCCUGCGCAAUGGGAAUCCAUGAACCAUGUCAGGUCCGGAAGGAAGCAGCAUUAAGUGGAACCUUCCAUGUGCCGCAGGGUCGCCUGGGCUGAGCUAACUGCUUGAGUAACGCUUAUGGCUGCUAAUCGACAGAGGGUGCACGG